Long non-coding RNA from Branchiostoma floridae (Florida lancelet), 782 nucleotides. RefSeq lists it as uncharacterized. The transcript is spliced from 2 exons. Lineage: Eukaryota; Metazoa; Chordata; Leptocardii; Amphioxiformes; Branchiostomatidae. The record is from RefSeq and is a predicted model, not a curated record.
GAUGAUUCUCGUUUUUCUUAAUAAUAUUUAAUGAAAACAAUAAAAGUAUAAUUUUCUCCUUAUAUUCUUGACAACUACGUUUAAACAAUUGGAGCAUCAAGAUAUGAAGAAUAAUUUUGAGCUAGCAUUGAUUUUCUUUUGUUUUCCCAAUACGAGAGUUAAGAAAUAUUUUCUUGCAGUCAGAUUCUUCAUUUUGCUAAGGAUCAUGGGAAAUUACUCCCAUCAUCCUUUGCUGCGAUUUUGAACUGGGAGUCACAGUUGCAAGUCACAGUGCUCCAGCUCUGCAGUUUUUUUUGCCUCAAAUGUCCUUUAGUUCUUACAUUAACAGGGAACAAAUAUGAUGUGUUUUGCAAAGAUUAUUUUCUGCAUCAUGUGGGACCUUGCAUACAACGUGGCUACCUUUUUUAGAGUUUCAAAAUGCUACUGAAGCCAAGGCCAAGCCGGAUGCCCCCCUCCCCCAUGCAGGCUCAGAAACCUACUGGUACAAGGAGGAUGUUCCCAUCUCAACUUUGGAAAAGCCCUUAACAAGGAGAAGUCUUCAUUAUAACUACAGCAACAGCAACAUUGUAGCUCUAAUGGUUUCAGAUAAGGACAAUUAGUUAUAGUUGGCUGCACGGUACUGUAUCAGGAAAAAAUGUCAAUAAGCAAGCGUAGUUGCAAAAUGGUUGAUUUUUGCAAUCUUUGGUAAGGAAUGAGUAAUCGAGGAAAACACCACAAAACUUGUAUGAAUCAUAUUGAUGAUAAUAAAUAUGAUUGCCAUCAUGUAUUGACAUAAAUGUCAA